GUUGUAUAGUCAAGUAAUUAAGUGCAUGUGGUGGAUGCCUUGGCAGUCAGAGGCGAUGAAAGACGUGAUAGCCUGCGAAAAGCUCCGGGGAGGCGGCAAAUAUCCUUUGAUCCGGAGAUGUCUGAAUGGGGGAACCCACCUACUUUAAGGUAGGUAUUGCAACAUGAAUACAUAGUGUUGCAAGGCGAACGAGGGGAAGUGAAACAUCUCAGUACCCUUAGGAAAAGAAAUCAAUUGAGAUUCCCUCAGUAGCGGCGAGCGAACGGGGAUCAGCCCAUUAAGUUAUGUGUGUUUUAGUGGAACGCUCUGGGAAGUGCGAACGUAGAGGGUGAUAUUCCCGUACACGAAAGGGCACACAUAAUGAUGACGAGUAGGGCGAGGCACGUGAAACCUUGUCUGAAUAUGGGGGGACCAUCCUCCAAGGCUAAAUACUCCUGACUGACCGAUAGUGAACCAGUACCGUGAGGGAAAGGCGAAAAGAACCCCUGUGAGGGGAGUGAAAUAGAUCCUGAAACCGCAUGCAUACAAGCAGUGGGAGCACCUUCGUGGUGUGACUGCGUACCUUUUGUAUAAUGGGUCAGCGACUUAUAUUCAGUAGCGAGGUUAACCGUAUAGGGGAGCCGUAGAGAAAUCGAGUCUUAAUAGGGCGUUUAGUUGCUGGGUAUAGACCCGAAACCAGGCGAUCUAUCCAUGAGCAGGUUGAAGGUUGGGUAACACUAACUGGAGGACCGAACCCACUGUCGUUGAAAAGCCAGGGGAUGACUUGUGGAUAGGGGUGAAAGGCUAAUCAAGCCUGGUGAUAGCUGGUUCUCCCCGAAAGCUAUUUAGGUAGCGCCUCGGACGAAUACCAUAGGGGGUAGAGCACUGUUUCGGCUAGGGGGUCAUCCCGACUUACCAAACCGAUGCAAACUCCGAAUACCUAUGAGUACUAUCCGGGAGACAGACUGCGGGUGCUAACGUCCGUAGUCAAGAGGAAAACAAUCCAGACCGCCAGCUAAGGCCCCAAAAUCAUAGUUAAGUGGGAAACGAUGUGGGAAGGCAUAGACAGCUAGGAGGUUGGCUUAGAAGCAGCCACCCUUUAAAGAAAGCGUAAUAGCUCACUAGUCGAGUCGGCCUGCGCGGAAGAUGUAACGGGGCUAAAACUAUGUGCCGAAGCUGCGGAUGUAUACUUUGUAUACGUGGUAGGGGAGCGUUCUGUAAGCCGAUGAAGGUGUGUUGAGAAGCAUGCUGGAGGUAUCAGAAGUGCGAAUGCUGACGUGAGUAACGACAAAACGGGUGAAAAACCCGUUCGCCGAAAGACCAAGGGUUCCAGUCCAACGUUAAUCGGGGCUGGGUGAGUCGACCCCUAAGGCGAGGCCGAAAGGCGUAGUCGAUGGGAAAAUGGUUAAUAUUCCAUUACUUCUGUGUAAUGCGAUGAGAGGACGGAGAAGGCUAAAUCAGCCUGGCGUUGGUUGUCCAGGUGAAAGGAUGUAGGCAUGUAUCUUAGGCAAAUCCGGGGUACUCUAUGCUGAGAUCUGAUAGCAAGCUGUACUUGUACAGCGAAGUGGUUGAUGCCAUGCUUCCAGGAAAAGUCUCUAAGCUUCAGUUACACAGGAAUCGUACCCGAAACCGACACAGGUGGUCAGGUCGAGUAGACCAAGGCGCUUGAGAGAACUCUGCUGAAGGAACUAGGCAAAAUGGUACCGUAACUUCGGGAGAAGGUACGCUGUUGUUGGUGAUGGAACUCGCUUCCUGAGCUGACGACAGCCGCAGAAACCAGGCCGCUGCAACUGUUUAUUAAAAACAUAGCACUCUGCAAACACGAAAGUGGACGUAUAGGGUGUGAUGCCUGCCCGGUGCUGGAAGGUUAAUUGAUGGGGUUAGCGUAAGCGAAGCUCUUGAUCGAAGCCCCAGUAAACGGCGGCCGUAACUAUAACGGUCCUAAGGUAGCGAAAUUCCUUGUCGGGUAAGUUCCGACCUGCACGAAUGGCAUAAUGAUGGCGGCGCUGUCUCCAGCAGAGGCUCAGUGAAAUCGAAAUCGCUGUGAAGAUGCAGUGUACCCGCGGCUAGACGGAAAGACCCCGUGAACCUUUACUGCAGCUUGACACUGAACUUUAACCUUACUUGUGUAGGAUAGGUGGGAGGCUUUGAAGCUGGAACGCUAGUUCCAGUGGAGCCGUCCUUGAAAUACCACCCUGGUAAUGUUGAGGUUCUAACUCUGUCCCGUGAUCCGGGACGAGGACCGUGUCUGGUGGGUAGUUUGACUGGGGCGGUCUCCUCCUAAAGAGUAACGGAGGAGUACGAAGGUGCGCUCAGCGUGGUCGGAAAUCACGCGUAGAGUAUAAAGGCAAAAGCGCGCUUAACUGCGAGACCCACAAGUCGAGCAGGUACGAAAGUAGGUCUUAGUGAUCCGGUGGUUCUGUAUGGAAGGGCCAUCGCUCAACGGAUAAAAGGUACUCUGGGGAUAACAGGCUGAUACCGCCCAAGAGUUCAUAUCGACGGCGGUGUUUGGCACCUCGAUGUCGGCUCAUCUCAUCCUGGGGCUGAAGCAGGUCCCAAGGGUAUGGCUGUUCGCCAUUUAAAGAGGUACGCGAGCUGGGUUUAGAACGUCGUGAGACAGUUCGGUCCCUAUCUACCGUGGGCGCUGGAAAUUUGAGAGGAUCUGCUCCUAGUACGAGAGGACCAGAGUGGACGAACCUCUGGUGUACCGGUUGUGACGCCAGUCGCAUCGCCGGGUAGCUAUGUUCGGAAGGGAUAACCGCUGAAAGCAUCUAAGCGGGAAGCCUACCUCAAGAUAAGAUUUCCCUAGGACUUUAUGUCCUCUAAAGAGCCGUUCGAGACUAGGACGUUGAUAGGUUGGAUGUGGAAGCAUAGUGAUAUGUGAAGCUGACCAAUACUAAUUGCUCGUGAGGCUUGACUAUACAACACCCAAGCAGUUG
This 2918-nucleotide ribosomal RNA is filed under the name Acinetobacter baumannii. RNAcentral's name for it is "bacterial LSU rRNA". It matches the Rfam family "Bacterial large subunit ribosomal RNA". Lineage: Bacteria; Pseudomonadati; Pseudomonadota; Gammaproteobacteria; Moraxellales; Moraxellaceae. The record is from RNAcentral.